This is a non-coding RNA of Neolamprologus brichardi, 455 nucleotides long. NCBI's taxonomy places the organism in Eukaryota, Metazoa, Chordata, Actinopteri, Cichliformes, Cichlidae. The record is from RefSeq and is a predicted model, not a curated record.
CAGAGAUCCAGGCUGGCUCUGGAUGUGUGCUUCAGUCAGAGGUUUUGACCUGUGUGUGUAUCAGUGAAGGGUUUCCUUUACCUACCAUCAAAUGGCCGCUCCUAAAGAACCACACUGAGUAUUCUGUCAUUAUUACGGUCUCUAAACACACAGUCAACAGCACUGUCAGUGUAACUGUAAACAAACAUAGCAACAGCACUGUGGAAUGUGUGAGUAACAAUGGAAAUGGAGAGAAUAGAGAAAACCUACUGAUCCACCAAAACUUGCCUGAAAAACAUGAGCAAUCAUCUAAUUUAAGGGUGGGAUACAUGAAAGCCAUCAUUGGCAUUUUGGCUGCAGUACUUCUUUCAGCAAUCGUUUGCCGUUUUACCAAAAAUUGGUACAGAAAAAAUCAGAAGACCUCAAGAAAUUCAGAUGAGACUUUGGAGAUGGAGAAACAUCAAGAUGAUAAACUG